RNAcentral lists this ribosomal RNA (253 nucleotides) under uncultured bacterium. Its description in RNAcentral is "partial 16S ribosomal RNA". It matches the Rfam family "Bacterial small subunit ribosomal RNA", at positions 524 to 776 of the family's 1533-position model. The record is from RNAcentral.
UACGUAGGGUGCAAGCGUUGUCCGGAAUUAUUGGGCGUAAAGGGCUCGUAGGCGGUCCGUCACGUCGGGAGUGAAAACUUGGGGCUUAACCCCAAGCCUGCUUCCGAUACGGGCGGACUAGAGGUAGGCAGGGGAGAACAGAAUUCCUGGUGUAGCGGUGAAAUGCGCAGAUAUCAGGAGGAACACCGGUGGCGAAGGCGGUUCUCUGGGCCUUACCUGACGCUGAGGAGCGAAAGCGUGGGGAGCAAACAGG